UUUUCAAGUGUUUUGAAAGCACUAAAUUAGAAGUUUAAAUCUUCUAUUAAUUU
RNAcentral lists this transfer RNA (53 nucleotides) under Systolederus spicupennis. RNAcentral describes it as "tRNA-Ser". Lineage: Eukaryota; Metazoa; Arthropoda; Insecta; Orthoptera; Tetrigidae. The record is from RNAcentral.